This 238-nucleotide long non-coding RNA is filed under the name Medicago truncatula (barrel medic). RNAcentral describes it as "long non-coding RNA (MTRU_LNC006666)". Lineage: Eukaryota; Viridiplantae; Streptophyta; Magnoliopsida; Fabales; Fabaceae. The record is from RNAcentral.
UUUUUGUUAGUGUGCUGAAUAGAAUAGAUUCCUUGUGCCCACAUGUUUUAUUCCUUGUUGAUUUCAUGGUUGAGCAUAGGGGUAGGUCUAAAACCGCCUAAAAUUGUCAUUUCUCUGCGUUUCUGAAGUUUGAAAAUAGGAGGUAGGACGAAAAAUGCAACAAAAAUGAUAAUUGAAGGACCAUUUUGUUAUGUUUUAAAAGAGCAGGACCAGUUUCGUGAGUAGGCCAAAACACGAG